UGGGGAAUAUUGGACAAUGGGCGAAAGCCUGAUCCAGCAAUGCCGCGUGAGUGAUGAAGGCCCUAGGGUUGUAAAGCUCUUUUACCCGGGAUGAUAAUGACAGUACCGGGAGAAUAAGCCCCGGCUAACUCCGUGACAGCAGCCGCGGUAAUACGGAGGGGGCUAGCGUUGUUCGGAAUUACUGGGCGUAAAGCGCACGUAGGCGGAUACUUAAGUCAGGGGUGAAAUCCCGGGGCUCAACCCCGGAACUGCCUUUGAUACUGGGUAUCUGGAGUCCGGAAGAGGGGAGUGGAAUUCCGAGUGUAGAGGUGAAAUUCGUAGAUAUUCGGAGGAACACCAGUGGCGAAGGCGGCUCACUGGUCCGGUACUGACGCUGAGGUGCGAAAGCGUGGGGAGCAAAC
Molecule: ribosomal RNA, 401 nt
Filed under: uncultured bacterium
Lineage: Bacteria
Description: bacterial SSU rRNA
Rfam family: Bacterial small subunit ribosomal RNA
Source: RNAcentral